Molecule: long non-coding RNA, 1107 nt
Filed under: Homo sapiens (human)
Lineage: Eukaryota; Metazoa; Chordata; Mammalia; Primates; Hominidae
Description: non-protein coding lnc-TTC12-2:1
Source: RNAcentral
CAAAAAAUGGAAAAAACCUAAAUUUCCAUCAAUUGAUGAAUGGACCAAAAAAUGUGGUAUAUUUAUACAAUAAAAUAUUGUUGGGAAAUAAAAAGGAAUGCAGUACUGAUACAUACUACAACAUGGCUGAGCCUUGAUUCAGCAUUUUAGUAAUGUGAGCUCCUUAAUUGUGUUAGCUGUUUGUUUGUUUUUUUGUAACCAUGAAAGUUUAUUUAUUUAUUUUUCAAUAGUUUUGAGGGUACAGGUGGUUUUUUGUUACAUGGAUAAGUUCUUUAGUGGUGAUUUCUGAGAUUUUGGUGCACCUGUCACUGGAGCAGUGUACAUUAUACCCAAUAUGUAGUCUUUUAUCCCUAUGAAGGUUUAUUUUAAUCCUAGCACUUGUUAAUAUUUAUCCUUAAUUCUUACUAACUUUUAGAUUGUGGGUAUUAUAUCUUCAUGAGAAUAGCUAAAAUAAUUUUAUUUGGAUAUUCCUCAAAGAACUAUUGAAUGUGAGCAUGCUAAGAUUACCCCUGGCAAAAUGGAAAAUGCCUAGCACCUGGAAGCAUCUGUUUCUGCCGGUCUUCUAGGAGAGAGGAAAUAUUUAUGUCUUCCAUUUAUGUAUUUUGACUGGGGAAAAUUUUCCCUUUUAUUCUGGGGAGCUGUUACUCAGCAUAAGAGAAUGUAGAGGAGAAUCACCCCUUUCACAUAUCUAAUAGCUUUACCACAUUACUACAGUAGUAUCUUAUGUUGUAUGCAUUGAUUGUCAAUCUCUUCUCCUCAUCUCCACCAUUUUGAUAGCUUAAGGCUUAUCAUUCAUUCUCUGUGCAUAGAAAAAAAAACCGAAAUGAUGUUUUCCAGUAUUUUGUAAUCUUUCCUUCAUGAAUUGCAGAAGAAAAGUGUUUGGGUUUUGUCCCAUUCAUCAUAAAGCGGUACACAAUAGAUACGGUUGCAUUUUAAAGCAAGGCUAAGAUGGAUUUAAGAUGUAUUUCUUGUCAUGUGAAACGUCCUCCUCAGUGGUCUUAAAUAAAAUAUUAAUUAGAUAAUUCUGCAGUGAUUAAUAUGAAAAUGGUUACAUAAUUCUUAGAUGGUAUGUAUUGUGUUGGGCUAACACCACAUUGCUUUUCUAGA